Frieseomelitta varia is the source of this 1530-nucleotide long non-coding RNA. RefSeq lists it as uncharacterized. The record is from RefSeq and is a predicted model, not a curated record. The transcript has 2 exons. Lineage: Eukaryota; Metazoa; Arthropoda; Insecta; Hymenoptera; Apidae.
AAAUAUCCUGUUCGGAGCUGUGGUAAAAGAGUUGCAGGCCGUCAGAGGGGCAAGGUGAGUAGUCGCCUGUCACCACUCACCGACACACCGUGCUGCACGAAUUUUCGGCCAAUAGCUGUCUUUGUAUUUAAAAAUGUAUCGAAUUUAACUAAAACACCGACCAAUCAAAUCUGGAUUUCUAUCGCUCAUCUUCUUUCCACCUACAUGUUAUAUUACGUUACUCGUUAUCUGGUGCAUUCUUUUAUUGAAAAAUUUCCAUUCAACGCUUCGAGUACAAGCUCAGUAUCAAAGUUGCAAGUGGAUAUAUGUAGAUACAAUCUCCGGCACGGAGAUUUGUUAAAAUUUCUUUCAGCCAGUUUCGGAAUUUUCCAAUGAUAGACCAAUGAUGUGGUAAACAGUGUAUGUUUACUGGGUUAUUGUUAAUUUACGAGCAGAACAAGUGACAAGAAACGGAAUUAUCUGCAUUGGCUAACGAAGGCUGAUAAUGAAAUAAACUUGCCCAAAACGGCGCUGUACAGCCAAAUAUUUUACAGAUUAUACAGAUUUUUUCGUUACAGUAAUACAGGAUUUUUUCUUACAGGAAAUUACAGUAGAAGAACAUUGUCGAUAAGAAAAAUAUCAAUGUCAAUUUUGCUACUGGCUAGUAUGUAUUCAAAUCAUAUACAGGAUAUACCUAAAUUAUAUAUAAGCAGAUAAAUGUUUAUGAUUAAUUUUCGAGUGACAGAAAUAUGUAGAUACGUAUCGUGACAAUAUUCAUUCUUGCAAAUGUAAGUCACGUUUUGAUACGAUCGUUCAAUGCUAUUUUUAUCCGACCAUAAUGAAACAUAAAAGACAAAAGUUUUGAUUCUAGAUAUCCCAUUAUUGCAAUGAAAAUGGAAUGCAUUUGAAAACCAGUGAAUAUCGUGGGACGAAGAAACAUAAAUUAGAUAAAAUCGUACUCAUGGAAUCGGACUUAUGUAAUUGUGAAGUGCGUAGCGUAUUCUAUAUUAAUAGAAAUAGACUGUUAUGAAUGGCCAAAUUCUAAGGUUAACGUUAGUCUAUCGAUAAUAAACAACGAUGGCUCUCUGUCGUUCUUGGAAUACCUGCAAAUCGAAACUAUAAACAAAUUAUAUACGUACUAUUGCCACACUGAAGAAUUCAAUAUUCAACGUGGCGAAUAGUGCUCUGAAACAGUCAGUUGAAUUACAAAGUUUGCAAGUUAUCUGUAUGUACAAAUAUUCUUCUUCACUCAUCUUCAUGCAUAAAAGCGAAAACUAUGCAUUUAAUACAAUGUUUCUUGUAAUAACGGUAAGAUACAUAAUUGAUAAAAGUAUAAUAUCUAAUCUUAUUGAGAAGUUUUAUCAAAAAGCAGUUGUUUCUUAUACUGUUAACAUAAAUUCCAAUAAAAUAUCAAAAUCGGAAUUCGAUCUUUGCUUUAAUUUAUGAGUUUUCUCUUCCUUGUAUAUGUAUAAGUACAUGUGCAUACAUAGAUAUAGGCGUACAUUAUCGGAAAUGGAAUAUACAUUUUACAUAUAUCAUAUCGCGUACAAA